Molecule: non-coding RNA, 27 nt
Filed under: Drosophila melanogaster (fruit fly)
Lineage: Eukaryota; Metazoa; Arthropoda; Insecta; Diptera; Drosophilidae
Also listed under: 6 other names
Source: RNAcentral
GGGGAUGUAGCUCAGUGGUAGAGCGCG